GACGAACGCUGGCGGCGUGCUUAACACAUGCAAGUCGAGCGGUAAGGCCCUUUCGGGGGUACGACGAGCGGCGAACGGGUGAGUAACACGUGGGUGACCUGCCCUCAGCUCUGGGAUAAGCCUGGGAAACUGGGUCUAAUACUGGAUAUGACUCCACGGUGCAUGUCGUGGGGUGGAAAGCCUUGUGCGGCUGAGGAUGGGCCCGCGGCCUAUCAGCUUGUUGGUGGGGUGANGGCCUACCAAGGCGACGACGGGUAGCCGGCCUGAGAGGGCGACCGGCCACACUGGGACUGAGACACGGGCCCAGACUCCUACGGGAGGCAGCAGUGGGGAAUCUUGCGCAAUGGGCGAAGGCCUGACGCAGCGACGCCGCGUGAGGGAUGACGGCCU
Molecule: ribosomal RNA, 390 nt
Filed under: uncultured bacterium
Lineage: Bacteria
Description: bacterial SSU rRNA
Rfam family: Bacterial small subunit ribosomal RNA
Source: RNAcentral